RNAcentral lists this ribosomal RNA (253 nucleotides) under uncultured bacterium. RNAcentral describes it as "partial 16S ribosomal RNA". It matches the Rfam family "Bacterial small subunit ribosomal RNA", at positions 524 to 776 of the family's 1533-position model. The record is from RNAcentral.
UACGGAGGGUGCAAGCGUUACUCGGAAUCACUGGGCGUAAAGAGCGCGUAGGCGGGAUAGCAAGUCAGAUGUGAAAUCCUAUGGCUUAACCAUAGAACUGCAUUUGAAACUGUUAUUCUAGAGUAUGGGAGAGGUAGGUGGAAUUCGUGGUGUAGCGGUGAAAUGCAUAGAUAUCACGAAGAACUCCGAUUGCGAAGGCAGCUUACCAGUCUGCGACUGACGCUCAGGCACGAAAGUGUGGGUAUCGAACAGG